Non-coding RNA from Gossypium raimondii (Peruvian cotton), 106 nucleotides. The record is from Rfam. Lineage: Eukaryota; Viridiplantae; Streptophyta; Magnoliopsida; Malvales; Malvaceae.
AUUCCAUGAUGAGGGCAUUUUCAUAGUAACUCUUUGAAUCUCUCCCACGCCUCAUACAAGGAUUCAUCAUCCAUUUGUUGGAAGGUAGUGAUCUCAUUUCGUAACU